This 465-nucleotide ribosomal RNA is filed under the name Vreelandella stevensii. RNAcentral describes it as "partial 16S ribosomal RNA". It matches the Rfam family "Bacterial small subunit ribosomal RNA", at positions 338 to 795 of the family's 1533-position model. The record is from RNAcentral. Lineage: Bacteria; Pseudomonadati; Pseudomonadota; Gammaproteobacteria; Oceanospirillales; Halomonadaceae.
CCUACGGGUGGCAGCAGUGGGGAAUAUUGGACAAUGGGCGAAAGCCUGAUCCAGCCAUGCCGCGUGUGUGAAGAAGGCCUUCGGGUUGUAAAGCACUUUCAGUGGGGAAGAAAGCCUUGGGGCUAAUACCCUCGAGGAAGGACAUCACCCACAGAAGAAGCACCGGCUAACUCCGUGCCAGCAGCCGCGGUAAUACGGAGGGUGCGAGCGUUAAUCGGAAUUACUGGGCGUAAAGCGCGCGUAGGCGGUCUGAUAAGCCGGUUGUGAAAGCCCCGGGCUCAACCUGGGAACGGCAUCCGGAACUGUCAGUCUAGAGUGCAGGAGAGGAAGGUAGAAUUCCCGGUGUAGCGGUGAAAUGCGUAGAGAUCGGGAGGAAUACCAGUGGCGAAGGCGGCCUUCUGGACUGACACUGACGCUGAGGUGCGAAAGCGUGGGUAGCAAACAGGAUUAGAUACCCCUGUAGUC